RNAcentral lists this small nuclear RNA (313 nucleotides) under Castor canadensis (American beaver). RNAcentral's name for it is "7SK RNA (ENSCCNG00000028204.1)". It matches the Rfam family "7SK RNA". From Rfam's summary of the family: 7SK was discovered as an abundant small nuclear RNA in the mid-70s but a possible function has only recently been suggested. Two independent studies have found that 7SK RNA binds the CDK9/cyclin T complex (known as elongation factor P-TEFb). Lineage: Eukaryota; Metazoa; Chordata; Mammalia; Rodentia; Castoridae. The record is from Rfam by way of RNAcentral.
GGAUGUGAGGGCGAUCUGGCUGCGACAUCUGUCACCCCAUUGAUCGCCAGGGUUGAUUCGGCUGAUCUGGCUGGCUAGGCGGGUGUUCCCUUCCUCCCUCCCCGCUCCAUGUGCUGCGUCCCUCCGGAAGCUGCGCGCUCGGUCGAAGAGGACAACCAUCCCGAUAGAGGAGGACCGUUCUUAGGUCAAGGGUAUACGAGUAGCUGCGCUCCCCUGCUAGAACCUCCAAACAAGCUCUCAUAAAGCAGGCCUUCGGAAGGAAGGUGCCCAGUAGAACCUACAUUCAUAAAAGUGCAAAGGAGCACCAGAAUAU